CGGAGCAUGCGGAUUAAUUCGAUGCAACGCGAAGAACCUUACCAAGGCUUGACAUACACCGGUAACGCCCAGAGAUGGGUGCCCCUUUGUGGUCGGUGUACAGGUGGUGCAUGGUUGUCGUCAGCUCGUGUCGUGAGAUGUUGGGUUAAGUCCCGCAACGAGCGCAACCCUCGUCCUAUGUUGCCAGCGGGUCAUGCCGGGGACUCAUGGGAGACUGCCGGGGUCAACUCGGAGGAAGUGGGGAUGACGUCAAAUCAUCAUGCCCCUUAUGUCUUGGGCUUCACGCAUGCUACAAUGGCCGGUACAAAGGGCUGCGAUACCGCGAGGUGGAGCGAAUCCCAGAAAGCCGGUCUCAGUUCGGAUUGGGGUCUGCAACUCGACCCCAUGAAGUCGGAGUCGCUAGUAAUCGCAGAUCAGCAACGCUGCGGUGAAUACGUUCCCGGGCCUU
This 448-nucleotide ribosomal RNA is filed under the name uncultured Curtobacterium sp. RNAcentral describes it as "bacterial SSU rRNA". It matches the Rfam family "Bacterial small subunit ribosomal RNA", at positions 933 to 1382 of the family's 1533-position model. Lineage: Bacteria; Bacillati; Actinomycetota; Actinomycetes; Micrococcales; Microbacteriaceae. The record is from RNAcentral.